Equus caballus (horse) is the source of this 1573-nucleotide non-coding RNA. Lineage: Eukaryota; Metazoa; Chordata; Mammalia; Perissodactyla; Equidae. The record is from RefSeq and is a predicted model, not a curated record.
GCUUGCGGGCGCGGCGCAGAGGAAGUGCCGUCUUCGCCGCCGCGCCACGGGGGCGCCUCCGGCGCGGGCCGCGAUGUCGUCCCGGUCGGGGCGCGACGACGCGGGGGCCGGGGGCGCGCGGCGGCCGCGGGAGCCGCCCGAGCAGGAGCUGCAGCGGCGCCGGGAGCAGAAGCGGCGGCGGCACGACGCGCAGCAGCUGCAGCAGCUCAAGCACCUGGAGUCCUUUUAUGAAAAACCUCCUCCUGGGCUUAUCAAGAUGCCCGUCGGUUCAUACACCCUGGGCUUUGUCACAAGCCUGUGCCUGCGUAGAAAGUUAGUCAGCUGUGUGUGUGUCCCUGAGAAGCCGUGGCAGGCGCCGUGUGCUCCUCAGCCAUCACUCCCUUCUCUCUGCCUGGUGACUCCAUCUUCUCAAAGCUGUCCUGCCCGUGUGCCUCCUCUCACUCGCCUGCUGCUGUUUCUUGAGUGUCUGCAGCUCAGAGAGCAGCGGGCUCUGAGGAGACUUGAAGCUCAUCGGGUCCAGCCUCCCUGGUGCAGGAGUCCCUCCUCCAGCACCCUGGCCACAGGGUCACCGUCUUUCUGUGGGACCGAGACCUAGAGGAGGAGUUAAAGGACAAAGCAACCUCUGCUGUUUGGAAGAUGAGACUAAGCCAGAAGACUGUAUACCAGACGUACCAGGCAAUGAACACGCCAGGGAAUUUCUGGCUCACGCCCCAACUAAAGGACUUUGGAUGCCCCUGGGGAAAGAAGUCAAAGUCAUGCAGUGAUACAGGAGUUAAAACAGUUACUGGAGGAUUCCACUUCAGAUGAAGAUGAGAGCAGCUCCAGUUCCUCAGAAGGUAAAGAGAAAAACAAGAAAAAGAAGAAAGAAAAGAAAAGGAAGAAAAAACUAAAGCAUAAGUCUUCCAAGUCAAAUGAGAGUUCAGACGCAGAUUGACAAGAACUUGACUUGUUCAACACUCUCUUCUCAAAGAUCAGAGGAAUGCGGAACGGGAGAGGAACGAGAGAGAGACAGUGAGAGAGGAGGACAUUUGGUGUCACACGUGUGCAUUCUCACCUACCUUCUAGUAAGGACGUGACCCACAGGAGAGGAGCUCUACCUUCCUGGGUGCCAGCUCUGGAAAGCGGCUGAUUCCAGGCAGGACAGCUUUUCUCAGUGUCCUCCCUGCGGAUCACUGCGAUUUGUGAUUCCUCAGAAAUGCCUCUGCCGGGGCAGCCAGAGGGAAUCUCUGAGGAAGCUCCCCAAAUGCUGCCACAGCUUCCACCCUCCAGAGUGGGGCCACUCAAUUCCCAUUGACUUCAGCCUUGACUUUCUCUGUUGUUAAGGCCAAUAAAAGCUGAUGAUUUUAUUUAUUUAAAAAAUACUCAUUUAUUUUUGAAUCAUAAUAUACUUAACAUGGUCCAAAUUUAAAAGGUAAAUAAGGUUUAAUUAUGAGAAACCUUUCUCCCCCAGCUACUCAGUUCCCUUCCCUAAUGGCUAACAAUGUUACCAGUUUCUUAUGGAAUCACCUAGAAAUAUUUUAUAUAUCACAAAUUAUUUUUUCUUUUUUUAACAUAAAUACAUGCAUACUAUACA